Molecule: long non-coding RNA, 3193 nt
Organism: Lutra lutra (Eurasian river otter)
Lineage: Eukaryota; Metazoa; Chordata; Mammalia; Carnivora; Mustelidae
Exons: 3
Source: RefSeq, a predicted model, not a curated record
CCGAUGAGGAGCAGACACUCCACCAAUAAUGGCUGAAUAAAUGAAUGAAUGAGUGAAUGAAUGAACAUCAGGGUAUGUUUCGGGAAACAGCCUUCUUCAAGCGCAUUCUUUUUAUUAGUAAGAGCUUCCAGGCUGGCCUUUGAGGCCCGAGGAGGAAAGGACAGAUGUUAAGCCACAGAGAAUGGGCUCCACCAGGAGGGGAAGGUACGGGGGCUGGAAGCAGCAAAGAAGCAAACUUACGGCAGGUGUUACCAUGUACAGCAGGCCUUUCCUAAUGAGCAAAACAAGAAGAGAAAAAUAUAAAACAGAAUUUGGCUGCAUUUGAAGGUGUGAAGAGAACCACCCAGCUCUGAGAGACAUUUCCAUUGAGUGUGCAAGCAGCCGUGAGAAAGGCAGUUUGGACAGAGUCCAGCUGACCUCCACUGACAGGCGUGACCGGUGUGGUCAAGCCCCGCCAUUCACCCGUGCUGAGAGAAACGCCGUCCUAUCAUGAAGCAGGAGGAAGCACCACUGGUAUUUGUUCUUGAGUUGGUGCGAAAAGUGGCUUCUUCCACCACCUCAAAUGUGUGGUCAUGUGGAGUGAGAAGCAAGGAUAGCAUGAAGUGGUGGCCAUCAUGGUUGGCUCCUUUGGGAGAGUGUUGGGUUGGUUGGGUCCUUCCACUGCUGGGAGGUGGUGGCCACCUCGGGGGCAUCAGGGCCCUCCAGACCGUUGUCGGGGCCAUGACGCUCUUUCAUCCUCAGAGUGCAUUGCUGUCACUAACUACAUGCCCACCCCUGAUCCUGGUCAGGCUGAGAUUCGCCGUGGUCCCCAGAUGCCGCAUGGUGCCCAUCCCACCUUGUCCUCAGCCACUAGGAAGCUGCUUUCACUGGCAGCUAUCAGAACAUCUUGGGCAUGACUUAUUUAUUUAUUUAUUUAUUUAUUCAGCCAGGGCCGCCUGUCUUACUCACCCUUUCUGUAACAGUCUAAGAUCUGACCUCUUACUUAAUUGUGAUAAGCAAGAGAUACCUUCUCGGUGGCUGUGGGUGGGGCUCUAAGGACAGAGAGAUGGGCUGACUAAGCCGGGGGUGAUGUUCAGGUAUCUAAAGGGCCUUCUGAUUUGCUUUUAGAGGGAACGUGGAAGGUCUUUAUCAGCGUAGGUGACACUAUAAAAAGGGAGUAAAGUGCAAAUAAAAUUCCUAGUUGUGACUUACCAACUUCCCUUUGGUACUUGUGGAUUUUAGAAAUAAGACCAGCUGGGUUCAUAUCCGGAAAUCUCCUCCUUGCAACUGCUGAUCUUCUGUUAUUAAGAAGCGUGAUUUUUUUUCCUUUUUUAUUAAAAAAAGUGUGCUUUGGCACAAAGGAGAAAUGUUUAGAAGACAGGUCUGGAUUUGAAUUUUGGUUCCGAUAUUUAGUGACUUGGGACCCCGGGAAAGCGAAUCCCUGAGCUUUCGUUCCUUGUCUGCAAGAGGGGGAUCGUAAUGAAUAUCUCAAAGGGCUGUAAAGACCAGAAGUCAGGUGCCUGAGAAGGAGCAGAGAGUAGUUUCAGAGAGUGCACCACUCCUGAGAUAGCCUGCCUGGGAGGCCAGCAGAGCGGAAGCAGAGUCACACUGCUCUGGCCACACUAGCUGCUUCUGUGUUUUUACCACCGGAGUGAAGAGAGAAGGAACAAAUCCAGGCAGCAACUAUCAGUGAUGAAUCCAAUCACCGACGGAAGAAGCAAGACAAAAGCCUUGCAGGGCUCUGUGCUGACUGCUGGGUCUUAUUUCAAAGAGAAGGAGCACCUGAUAAUUUCGAAGGAAACUGUGUCUCUGUGGCAAGGACAGCAUGCCUGAGUGGAUUUGAUCACUCAGAGACUCUGGAAAUACUUUCUGGAUGGGUAAAUACAUCUGUACUUCUUGCAUCUUCCAACCCAGAUGCAAGAUGCCUGCUUAUUGGUUUUUAUUAAGUCACUUGUGUUUACCUUCUGAAACUUGUCCUCAAGGAAGGGCACAAGGCUGUGAGUAGAAAGGUAUGGAUGUCAUUCUUGGCUCCUCCCAAAUGCAACCCUUCAGGCCCUGGAUUUAUAGGGUGAGGGUUUGGUAUAGGUGGUGCCUUGGGGGGGUUUCUGAUCUAGGAGUCUGGGGCCCAUACUAAAUGAGAAUCGGUCAUCUGGGCCAUGAUCUUCUCAUGCUGGAGCUCAGGAGCUCGAGAAGACAGAACCGCCAUGCAUACACGCUUAAAACUGUUGCUCCAUCGUCCUUGCUCACGUUCCAUUGGCAGAACAAGCACCUGGCCAACCCCACAGUCAGUGGGGCAGGAAAGUAGGCUCUCUUCCAAGGGGGUGGGGGAGUGACUGUUUGCUGAGCCAUAAUUCAAUUUAUCGCUGCCAAUCUGAAGGCAAAGAAUUUAAUUAAACAAAUUCUCAAGCUCUCCAUCAGCUUUGUGUUUCUCCAGUUCUUAUACAAAACAUUCCAGGGAGCUUAGCUCUUCAUCAGUGGAAACUGUCUAGUCAUGCCCUGAUCAGAAUUCAAGGCCAAGCAGGGACCAUUAUUUGAGCUGUAGUUUAGCUACUUGGUAUGCACACAUCCCUAAUGAUCUUGGAAAGUAUAAUGUUUUCUAACAGCUGUAAAGACAAGAGAUUGUAACAUGAUCAGCUACACAUCAUAUCCAUGAAAUUACAUUGAGUAAUGUAAUGUGUUAUGCUGUCUUUAACACAUUAUGAAUACCUAAUUCUAAAGGUUAAUGAAAUUGACAAAUAUAUGAACACUACGGGUAUCAUCAAUACCACUUAAUGACACAUCUCUUGUUUUCAUUUACGGAAUCAACUAAAAUGAGAAGACUCUGUUGCUGCAAUUCCACUUUUUCUGGUCAUAAAUUAAAAAGUAUGCACAAUAUAUUUUGCUUUAAUUAGGAGUAUAGUUUUCUAGAGUGUUUUAUACUGUAGGUCUACAUAUGAUUAAUAUUUAAUACAAUAAGAUCAUAAUUAUUUAAAAUGAGCAUUUCGUAGUUUUUCUGAAAAGGGUUACACUUGCUAAGGGAGAAUAUUUCUUUGCUGGACAAAUCAAAGGCACUGUCAGGGCCAAGGACAACCGCCACGGGGACGUCGUCCUCCACAGAGAGCUGUAUUACCGCAGAAGUACCUUCCCAUCUGGGCUAAAACGUUUCAUCCUAAGACUGGGAAAAAUGGUGUAAGAAGACUAUUUUGUUUCUCUCCAGAUCCCGGGGUAAGCUUUC